GUAGACUGCACGUCCCUGGCCAAGCCCAGUCUGAGCAGCCCAGUGUCUGCUUCUCUUGGCAACUGCGGUGCAGGGUGCCCAGCUGGGCAGGGGCUGCCAAGGAUCCACACACUACCCUUCUCUGCCCUACUGCAUGCCCCAAGAGGUCGGCCUGACACAGAGAAUCUGGAAGAAGAACUGAAUGUACAGGCACAGUACUUCCUCUUAGCACCCACAUAGGAUGACUGUGAAGUGAGCUGACAGUUUAUAAGAUCCCCUUGGAUGAAAACAAGAAGCCAAUGACAGCUGAGUAACAGGAUGAAGGCUUCUUGAUAAGGCUUUUUGGAGUCUGGGGCCUCCCUGAAGAAGGCUGGCAUCUGUGUGAACCGCAGAGCAGCGACAGCGCGGUGCCUCCUAGACGACUGCAUUCCUUUUUUAAUAUAAAGCUUUCAUUUAAUAAAUAGAACUUUCAUAAGUACAACUUUUGGAUUAUAGUGGUUCUUCUCCCCAUACUUCCCUCCCAUUCCACCUCCUACUCCCUCUCCCAUCCCAUUCUUCAUUAAGAUUUGUUUUUAAUUAUCUUUAUAUACAGAAUGUCAACUCUAUAUUAAGUAAAGAUUUCAACAGUUUGCACACACACACACAAAGUAUAAAGUACUGUUUGAAGACUAGUUUUACUGU
Molecule: non-coding RNA, 660 nt
Organism: Oryctolagus cuniculus (rabbit)
Lineage: Eukaryota; Metazoa; Chordata; Mammalia; Lagomorpha; Leporidae
Source: RefSeq, a predicted model, not a curated record